RNAcentral lists this long non-coding RNA (154 nucleotides) under Phascolarctos cinereus (koala). Its description in RNAcentral is "lncRNA (ENSPCIG00000036540.1)". The record is from RNAcentral. Lineage: Eukaryota; Metazoa; Chordata; Mammalia; Diprotodontia; Phascolarctidae.
CUCCAAUAUCCUCCCUAUUGAAGUGCCACUCCGAAGUUCAUCAUGGAGUGGAGUGAACUGGAACUGCACCCGCAAUAUUUCCAAGGUAUCCUUCUACCUCCUAUCCAACAUUAGAAUCCCCAGUCCCACACUCCCAGGGGGUCUCUCAGUUACA